RNA transcript from Onychostoma macrolepis, 2898 nucleotides. RefSeq lists it as uncharacterized. The record is from RefSeq and is a predicted model, not a curated record. The transcript is spliced from 3 exons. NCBI's taxonomy places the organism in Eukaryota, Metazoa, Chordata, Actinopteri, Cypriniformes, Cyprinidae.
CACACACCUCACACCACUCCAGUGUCUGGUCUCGUUUGUACGAAGUGGACUCUUCAUGCUACACUAGGCAAAAUAUUGAUAUCCUUAUCUUCCUCAUGUACUUACCUCCUGUGAGCCGCUCCAACGUCCGUCUCUUCCUUUGUCUCCAAGUGACCAGCUCCGUCAUAUACUCCAGUGUGUGCUGUCAUCCAUCCAGCCGCCAGUUAUUCCACGGACUCCUAAGACCUGACCACAAAACAAGGAUGAAGUUAGCUUCCAUUAAUGUGGGCCCCAGGAAGGAGGAUGGACUUUCUGGAGGAGGUACUGUUUUUAUCUUCCAGGAUGGCAGGUGUCUAGAGGACUAUGUGGAGGAGUUUAUAGACACCUGUCACCAAGCCAUCUGCAGCGACCUCACAUUAAUGGAGGGAUUCAGGGUUGGCUUGGAUGAGGAAAUGCAGAUCGUGAUGCCACUAGGAGAUCCCAGCUGGUCAUUGGCGCAAUACCUUACUUUUGCAUUAUGGAUUGCAGGAUCAUCGUACCAAGUAGGUGAAAUGGAGGCCACGCCAGCUCCAGAAUCCAGCCCAAACACAACGGCCGCUCCGCAGUCUAACCAGCCAUCCAUCCCGUCAGCCGAUUCCCAAAUUUCCAGAAGUUCUACCAUAAUCUUCAGCCCAGAAACGCUGUCUUCGGCGAAGUCAAGCCUGCCAGCUCACUGGCAUUACCCCCAGAGUUCUCUGCACCUAUCCUCACCCCAGAGUCUCCCUCGUCUCCACUGGUCCCGUCCAGCUCCCCAACGUCUCCUGAGCCUCCUUCGUCUCCUGAGUCUUCUGUGGCCAUCAGCUCCGCUCCUCCAGGGCACCCUCCAGUUCCAGCUCCUCCAGAGCACCCUCAAGUGCCCGCAUCUCCAGAGUCUGCUCCUCCUGAGCGCUCGCCUGAGCCCGCUCCUCCUGAGCGCCCUCCAGACUCCUUCCAGGCUGUUAAGGUUCGUAAUUUCACCAAGAAGAUUUUGAGGGAGGGGCUAUAUACCCAUGGUCUUGGUAGCCUAUCACGGAGGUACUGUCACAGAUCGGUCAGGCUCACUCGCUUCCCAGUUGGCCUGGUUUAUUGCCAUAAACAUCCACAAUUGAUUCUAACCUUCUGUGUCUGCUGUAACUUUUGCCUGGAGGCUUCUUCCUCUGACAGCUCUCUAAGAGGCUUCCAACAGGUUAAAUCCUCUACAACACUGCUACCAGGGAGAUCACCAUGGUGAGCAAUACUGCGUCAGCGACAAAGUCUUUUGUGGAUGAGGUGUGAGUGUACAGUCAGCUCCAUUCAAAUAGAGGGCUGAAAAUUUAAAGUGACACAGUGUUGAUGGAACAAAUGGACUUGCAAAUGUGAAUUUCAUUUUGUUGAGCCAGGCUGUCAAGCAGUCAUGAAACAGAUCAUGUUAGGAUGUUUUAACAGAGCGACGAGUUGUAUAAAUAUUUUAGGAUGCAAGCAUAGCCUCUCUUUUCAGGGAAAAUUAUUUCUGAAAUGAAAAAUCACAAGCUCAUUAAGACGAUUUGCAUUUAUUGUGACUAACUGGUCUGUGUGGUGCAGUUAACUAAUGAGAAAAAGACAUUUAAAUUGGAUGAAAUUCUCAAAGUUUGCAAAGAAAACUGCAGUGUUGCUACAUGAUUUCUUACCAACACACUGAUUUGAAAGAGGAAAUGACCCAUUUCUUCAGAAAAUUAGACUUUUGUUGCUGUUACAGUUUAAUUGGCUUGUUUUACAGCUCUUUAGAGCUGACUUGACUUUCUUAGAUGAGUAUUUAUUUGGAGUAAUCUUCAUAUUAUAAUAAGGGAAUAGUUUAACCAAAAAUGAAAAUUAUGUACUUACCAUCAUGGUGUUUCAAACUAGUAUGCUGCAUGUUAUUCUGUCUGAAAAACACUAUUUAGAUAUUUUCCAUACAGCCAAAAUUCAUAGUGACAAGACAAGCCCUACAAAGGCACCUUAAAAGUAGUCCAUAUGACUUGUUUAUUAUGUACUGUAACAAGUCUCCCGAAGUUAUAUGAAAUACUAACAGAUCACUUUGGGAAUAAAAACUAGAAACUACUUUAAAUUUGCAAAAACGUGUUUUUGUAACACCAUCAAAACAUUGCAAAGGCAUAUUGAGCUCCAGGUGGACAUAACCUGCCAGAAAUUUCCACUGUUGCUGCAAGCUUCAUGAAAUGUGCAUGUGAGUGUGUGCUUGUGUGUAUUUUGUCCACAGACCACAAACUACUCUUGCUGAAUGUGAUGUUUGCAAGCUCUUGUUUACAUUGUAUGUUUUUUAAUAUGUAAAACUGCUGUUGUCAUAACAUCUGCUAACGUGUUAUUAUUUAUAUAAUCUUAUAGUAUUUAUUAAUAUUUUGAAUUAGCAUUAACCUUGAUUGUUUUAAUAUUUUGAAUUUUAUUUAUUAUUAUUAUGCCUAUUGAAAAAAAAACACUUUACACUCUAGUGUUUAGUUAAUUUCGUCUAACAACGCUGAACAGUGUAUUUACAUCAUUUUUGCCAUUUUGCUGAACCACAUUCCAUGCAGCAUAUCUUAUUUAUCCUUUUGGUGAAGUGAAAUUUUAAGCAAAAUAGAAUAAAUGGUCUGGCCUUUAUCGCUAUGGCUAAUUUCAUAGCUAGUAUUUUUCUUUUCUUUUUUUUUUUUGUAUGCCAAAUAUACACAUUACACAUAAAAUACACACUUUAAAUAAUAUUUACAAUGUUUUUUCCAUAAUUUGACACUUUACAAUUACUCUGUUUACAAUGGAUAUUAACCUUAUUUUUUCUGCAUGUCUCAUAUAUCUCAAGCUUUUCACUGACACUGUGGUCACAUAACCAAGUAGACUAUUUAAUAAUAAUAAUAAACAUUAGUGGCAAAACUGUUGGGAAAAAAAAAAUAUGAUAAAAAUUAAAACAGCUUUGAUAAU